This 360-nucleotide long non-coding RNA is filed under the name Vulpes vulpes (red fox). RNAcentral's name for it is "lncRNA (ENSVVUG00000027370.1)". The record is from RNAcentral. Lineage: Eukaryota; Metazoa; Chordata; Mammalia; Carnivora; Canidae.
GCAUUUUGUCACAUCAGCCCAGGACGAGAGCAGCCAACUAAAGAGCUUCUCGAUGUUGCAUUGUAAAAGAUAAGAAAAGAAUCCCAUUGAAUGGCUAGCAAGCAGAAGCAUGCAUGUCAGCUCCUUCUGGAAUGGAAUGGCAGCCCUGCCCCCCAACUUCACAGGAAUCCAUUAGUCUCAUGCUGUUUCUCUAUCAAAAUCUCUUCUUGAGAAUGAAGCUGAAAUUGCUUCUCAUGAGAAGCCAAAGUGACAGAGAGCAGUUUAAAAUAUGACCUCAGCCUCGGGAAUUUGCAACUUGAAGAGGGAUAAAGGUCCCGUGAUAGAAGAUAAUAAAUGACCCUAAAAUGUCUCUUAGUGACA